CUUGGAAGAGCUGGGGCAGAGAGAGAAACAACAGCUUCUUUGUCUGGUUCUCUCAGAAGCCAACUCUGAGGCAAGGAUUCCUAGGAAAGACUAUCUUAAGAGUGAGAGGUGGAAUUUUAUUAUCUAUGGAGGAAGGAAUCUUCCUAGUGACUGAGUCCUGUCUUCUUCCUUCAAUGAGAAAGACAGCUGUGAUUGAUUAGUGAUGUCUGCCUUGGCCCAGGAUGGGAGACAACAGUACCUAUACUGCACAUUGUACAUCCCUGACCUCAGGAAACCUCAGCAGUCAGAAGGAGUUCAAGCAAUGUGGGACUGCUCUAUUUGCUCCCUUGACUGUGAGUGAUUUAAAGAUACUGGGUCUUGCUCCUUCACCCAAACUGGAGUGCAGUGGCACGAUCGAUCACAGCUCACCGCAGCCUUGAACUCCUAGGGCUGACACCAUCCUCCCGCCUGAGCCUCCUGAGUGGCUGGAACUACAGGAGUGCACCACCAUGCACCUAAUUGGGUCUCAGAGAUACAGAAUUGCACAGAGAGAGUCCCAGUCCACAGAGAAGGUGAAAACAUAAAUGAUCUCGAGUGUUGCUGACUCUCACAUCCAACAGAGCAUCCAACAGAGGCUCACACAGGUGGCCAUCUGACCAAAGCCAGCCCUCUGUAAGUUGACUUAGCCUAUGUAGCAUUUUAAAAAAUAUCUUCAUUGGUCUCUGAAAUUUAAAAGUUGAGAUAUUUCACAUUAAAAAAAAAAAACAAAAAAAAACACAAGAUUGCUGGUGUAGAAGAGAAAAGUGUCCUUCAUUUUGCCAUGUGCUGGCCUCACUUUUUAUUGUACAUUUCUGGCCAGUCUCCUGGGGGGCACUUGAGUUUGCAACUCCCAUGUGUACAGGGCUCUGGGGUUCGGGAGGGAGAAACAUAAGCAUGUAGGCCAAAGACUCAGUGAAAGCCCCAGUUUUGGGAGGAUUUUCUGGUCUUGCUUGGAGAAAGAUGACUCACGAGGCCAGCAUGUGUCUCUUGCCGAGCCAGGUUUCCUUUCCUACUUUGUUUUUAUAAAGCAGAAAUAGAAGUUUCCAUAACGUGGUGCAACUCCACCCAGCAGGCCUUGGGAAGCCGCUGCUAUCUGUGAGCGUCCAAGGGAGAGCUUUGGUUGGGAGCCUGCUAUUGCUCAUGGAGCUGUGAGCACAGCGGGACAGCAUGUGCUCGUCUCCACUGUUGGCUCUGCCUGAAGAUGGGGACUCCGUACUGCGUUCCUCCUUGGGUGAGACUGUCAAAGAGCUGGGUCCCUCAGGCCACAAAAGAGUGGGGGACUCCCAGCUCUACCAGCCCAGGUGGACCAUGCUGCCCAGGGUCCUUGGAUAUCCUCUGAGUCUGACUGGUGGGGUCACUACAAUUUGGUGCCAUGUCCCCAGAUGCCCUGCAGAGACAAUCAAUGGAAAUCCUGUGUUCUGAGUAUCAGGUUGCUCAUGAGUCUCCAGUCCUCCACACUGAAACUGACCUCCAAUCACAAGAAAAUACUGUCCCUGGCCCGUAAGUUGCCUUAUGAGGCCAGCUCACCUUCCCACGGGCCCUCUGCCUCCAGGAAAGCCAUUUACAGCUCUAAUGCCUUCCAGCCAGGUAGGAAUGGGGCUCACUGGCCCCUGGUGGUGGCCAUAACUUUGUAAUUGAAUGACAUCUGGGACUACCAGUCCCCAUAAAGAGAAACCAGAGGAAUGUGGUAAAUUUUUCACAAGACUGUGGGGACUCCCACUGUGGCUGGGCCAGGAAUCCAGGCCACUUCACACAAGCCUCUUUCUGUGGCUGCCCUGAGCCAGCUUCUGGAUGAGGAGCCAGCCAGCCCCGGGUUCAGAUCCUGCCUCUGCCUGCUGGGACCUUGGCAGUGUGCCAUGACCUCUCCCUGCCUCGGUCUUCUCUGUAAACUGGGUGUACUGCUCCCCUUGCAGAGUUCUUGGGAUGAUCAGGCCUUUCUUAGUGCAGACGGAGAAAUUCUGUCAUUUUAAAGCCUUGAAGAAGUCAGGCUAUGAUUGAUUGGAGACACAGAGGGAGAUGAGAUGGGGACAAUGCAAGGGACCAGAUCAAACCUCAGCAGGGGGAUCUCCAAACAUUUCUUCCCGAUUCCAGCAGGAUGGCGUAGUUAGGCCUGUGGCCAGGCUUCUUUGCAUCAUCUCUGGACAGCUCAGGAAGAGGCUAUGGGAUUUACCAAGUAGAUUACAUGGCACUUAGCUAAUGAAAUGACACCCCCGCCCUCCCCAGAUAUUGAUCAGCCACUGGCAACCGUGGAGCUUGCAGCAGCCUCCAGACAGCUUUAAAAGAAAAUCAACCAUUAAUAAAAUUGAAUGGUUUGGGGGAGCAGGAUGCCGGGGCAGUGGUUGGGGGUGGUUCUAGAGGAGAGAGAUUCAGAAGAAGUUAGCAGACAAGGAGGACUACAGGAAGAAAAUGUGCCCUUCUGACCCCAAACCAGAAUAGUAGAUGUAUGAGAGAUUUUGCAAUUAACCAGGUCCAUGAGAAAAUGCCUAGCGUACAAGUAUCAAGUGAGAAGGGUAUGUCUGCAGGAUGCAGACGGCAGAGGUUGCAAACUCAGGGCAACCCCGCAAUGUGUCUCUUUGCUCCAUGUAUGCUUUAUUUACAAGGAAUUUGCUGCCAAUAUCUUUAAAAAGUUGGAGUUUUUAUAUAAAAAUCUAGAUUUCUGGAGUUCCAAUUUUUGUAAAAUUGGAACAUGGGAUGACAUUGGGCUUGCAUUCUUUGUGGCAGCAGUUGAGCUGAGCAGUAACAGCUGCCCCUGUGGAUGGGGCAUGUGGAGUCCAGCUUGCCCAGCCCCCACCUGGCCCCCACACUCAUUCCUGUAACCUGCCAGGGCUUAUGAGUUUGAGACCUUGAUGCAAAGUCUGAACUGAAGUAUGCAAUAAUGUUUACAUAUGAGUGGAGGACGUGUGUGUGUGUGUGAAUGAUACACACACACAUACACAGUGACUAUAUCUCUAUCUACCUAUCUAUCUAUCUAUCUAUCUAUCUAUCUAUCUAUCAUCAUCUAUCAUCUGCCAAAACAGUGACAGUGACUACCUUUCCCUAGGUAGGACUUUAUCUUCUUACCCAUUCGUACUUUCCAUUCUCAUCAAUAAAAAACAAUAGACUUGGCUUUGGGAAAAAGAAUGAAUCUGUGCAGAGCUGAGUAUUCUGUAGGAUCACGGAUCAUAGCAACGGCGAUUGUACCAAGAAGGAAAUGUAGAAAAUGCCAAACCGUGUUUUUCUCCAAAUAGGGAAAUUGUGAACCAGUUAGAAUGUCGCCUUUCUUGCUUUUCUGCAAUAAAUCUCUUUCAUAUUUCUAAUCGAAAAACUAAAACCCAGGUAUGUGCAACUUAAAAGUAAAUCAGGAUUAACUCCUCUUAACAGAGGGGCAACGGUGCAAGAAGGAGGCUUAUCCGGGGAGGGACCUUGAACAUAGUGGGGGGCUUUGUCAGGCCUGCCCUGGCCUCUUCCUCUAGGGUGGUGACCUGGAAUCUUGUUCAGGAGUGAUAUGGUUUGCCUCUGUGUCCCCACCCAAGUCUCACCUCCAAUUGUAAUCCCCAUAAUCCCCACGUGUCGAGGGAGGCACCUGGUGAGAGGUGAUUGGAUCAUGGGGGCAGUUUCCCCUAUACUGUUCUCGUGAUAGUGAAUGAGUUCUCACAAGAUCUGAUGGUUUUAGAGGUGUUUAACUGUUCCUCCUUCACACUCUCUCUCGCCUGACGCCAUGUAAGACAUGCCUGCUUCCCCUUCCACCAUGAUUGUAACUUUCCUGAGGCUUCCCCAGCCAUGCAGAACUGUGAGGCAAUUAAACCUCCUUUGUUUAUAAAUUACCCAGUCUCGGACAGUUCUUUAUAGCAAUGUGAAAACAAACUAAUACAAAGAGCAAGCACCGUUUGAUGGCUGCAGUCUGUCAUUCCAUCCCUGGACCUCAGAUCCCCAUCUAUGAAAAGGAGAGAUUCUUAUAGGGAAAAGCUGGGGGCAAUGUCUAGCUCUUUUUGUAAGCCUCUACGAGCCAAACACCAACUGGCAUGUUUUCACAAGUGUGUUAGUUGAAAAGCCUAGAGGUUCAU
This 4061-nucleotide long non-coding RNA is filed under the name Homo sapiens (human). RNAcentral's name for it is "HSALNT0276467". The record is from RNAcentral. Lineage: Eukaryota; Metazoa; Chordata; Mammalia; Primates; Hominidae.